CCUACGGGAGGCAGCAGUGAGGAAUAUUGGUCAAUGGGCUUACGCCUGAACCAGCCAAGUCGCGUGAGGGAAGAAUGCCCUCUGGGUUGUAAACCUCUUUUGUCAGGGAGCACCGCCGGCUACGUGUAGCCUGGCUGAGUGUCGCUGAAGAAAAAGCAUCGGCUAACUACGUGCCAGCCGGCGCGGUAAUACGGAGGGGGCAAGCGUUAUCCGGAUUGACUUGUUGUAAAGGGGGCGCAGACGGCGAUGCAAGACAGGAGUGAAAGCCCGGGGCCCAACCGCGGAACGGCUUUUGGAACUGCGUGGCUAGAGUGCAGGAGGGGCAGGUGGAAUUCCAGGUGUAGCGGUGAAAUGCGUAGAUAUCAGGAGGAACACCGGUGGCGAAGGCGGCCCGCUGGACUGCAACUGACGUUGAGGCCCGAAAGCGUGGGGAGCAAACAGGAUUAGAUACCCCGGUAGUC
This 461-nucleotide ribosomal RNA is filed under the name uncultured bacterium. RNAcentral describes it as "partial 16S ribosomal RNA". It matches the Rfam family "Bacterial small subunit ribosomal RNA", at positions 338 to 795 of the family's 1533-position model. The record is from RNAcentral.